AGUAACACGUGGGUAACCUGCCCAUCAGAAGGGGAUAACACUUGGAAACAGGUGCUAAUACCGUAUAACAAUCGAAACCGCAUGGUUUCGGUUUGAAAGGCGCUUUUGCGUCACUGAUGGAUGGACCGCGGUGCAUUAGCUAGUUGGUGAGGUAACGGCUCACCAAGGCAACGAUGCAUAGCCGACCUGAGAGGGUGAUCGGCCACAUUGGGACUGAGACACGGCCCAA
RNAcentral lists this ribosomal RNA (229 nucleotides) under uncultured bacterium. RNAcentral describes it as "partial 16S ribosomal RNA". It matches the Rfam family "Bacterial small subunit ribosomal RNA", at positions 109 to 334 of the family's 1533-position model. The record is from RNAcentral.